This 497-nucleotide ribosomal RNA is filed under the name uncultured bacterium. Its description in RNAcentral is "partial 16S ribosomal RNA". It matches the Rfam family "Bacterial small subunit ribosomal RNA", at positions 28 to 507 of the family's 1533-position model. The record is from RNAcentral.
GAUGAACGCUGGCGGCGUGCCUAAUACAUGCAAGUCGAGCGAACGGACGAGAAGCUUGCUUCUCUGAUGUUAGCGGCGGACGGGUGAGUAACACGUGGAUAACCUACCUAUAAGACUGGGAUAACUUCGGGAAACCGGAGCUAAUACCGGAUAAUAUUUUGAACCGCAUGGUUCAAAAGUGAAAGACGGUCUUGCUGUCACUUAUAGAUGGAUCCGCGCUGCAUUAGCUAGUUGGUAAGGUAACGGCUUACCAAGGCAACGAUGCAUAGCCGACCUGAGAGGGCGAUCGGCCGCACUGGAACUGAGACACGGUCCAGACUCCUACGGGAGGCAGCAGUAGGGAAUCUUCCGCAAUGGGCGAAAGCCUGACGGAGCAACGCCGCGUGAGUGAUGAAGGUCUUCGGAUCGUAAAACUCUGUUAUUAGGGAAGAACAUAUGUGUAAGUAACUGUGCACAUCUUGACGGUACCUAAUCAGAAAGCCACGGCUAACUACGUG